This 521-nucleotide ribosomal RNA is filed under the name uncultured bacterium. RNAcentral describes it as "bacterial SSU rRNA". It matches the Rfam family "Bacterial small subunit ribosomal RNA", at positions 8 to 518 of the family's 1533-position model. The record is from RNAcentral.
AGGGUUCGAUUCUGGCUCAGGAUGAACGCUAGCUACAGGCUUAACACAUGCAAGUCGAGGGGCAGCAUGGGAGUUGCUUGCAAUUCCUGAUGGCGACCGGCGCACGGGUGAGUAACGCGUAUCCAACCUUCCCCUUAGUAGGGCAUAGCCCGGUGAAAAUCGGAUUAACACCCUAUGUUCUUCACAGCAGACAUCUAACGUGAAGCAAAGGUUCACCGCUAAGGGAUGGGGAUGCGUCUGAUUAGGUAGUAGGCGGGGUAACGGCCCACCUAGCCUUCGAUCAGUAGGGGUUCUGAGAGGAAGGUCCCCCACAUUGGAACUGAGACACGGUCCAAACUCCUACGGGAGGCAGCAGUGAGGAAUAUUGGUCAAUGGGCGAGAGCCUGAACCAGCCAAGUAGCGUGCAGGAUGACGGCCCUAUGGGUUGUAAACUGCUUUUAUAUGGGGAUAAAGUUCACCACGUGUGGUGUUUUGUAGGUACCGUAUGAAUAAGGACCGGCUAAUUCCGUGCCAGCCGCAGC